This 164-nucleotide ribosomal RNA is filed under the name uncultured bacterium. RNAcentral's name for it is "partial 16S rRNA". It matches the Rfam family "Bacterial small subunit ribosomal RNA", at positions 355 to 511 of the family's 1533-position model. The record is from RNAcentral.
UAGGGAAUCUUCGGCAAUGGACGAAAGCCUGAUGGAGCAACCCCGCGUGAGUGAAGAAGGGUUUCGGCUCGUAAAGCUCUGUUGUUAAAGAAGAACACGUAUGAGAGUAACUGUUCAUACGUUGACGGUAUUUAACCAGAAAGUCACGGCUAACUACGUGCCAG